RNAcentral lists this long non-coding RNA (203 nucleotides) under Elaeis guineensis (African oil palm). RNAcentral describes it as "long non-coding RNA (EGUI_LNC017100)". Lineage: Eukaryota; Viridiplantae; Streptophyta; Magnoliopsida; Arecales; Arecaceae. The record is from RNAcentral.
ACUUUGUCCACAUGGUGCUUGUCCAUAGCCUGUAUCUAAUCAAGUUGUUGUGAGGGGGUGAAAUUAUUGCCUUACAAAUAUCAUCGGUCGAUAAUCAAGAGGUUGAUGGGAUGUCUGUCAUCAUCUCUUGAUAUUUGUAAGGUUUUAAUUCACAAUUGUAAUCCUAAUUUGCUGACCGAUUAUUAUGACCAUUUUAUUGAAGC